GAUCUUGUGGCCUAGUGAUUAGAGCGUUUGCUUCGGGUGCAGAAGGUCGCAGGUUCGAUCCCCGGCCGAGUCAUACA
This is a non-coding RNA of Potamilus streckersoni, 77 nucleotides long. The record is from the annotation of a GenBank genome assembly. Lineage: Eukaryota; Metazoa; Mollusca; Bivalvia; Unionida; Unionidae.